RNAcentral lists this ribosomal RNA (499 nucleotides) under uncultured soil bacterium. Its description in RNAcentral is "bacterial SSU rRNA". It matches the Rfam family "Bacterial small subunit ribosomal RNA", at positions 26 to 519 of the family's 1533-position model. The record is from RNAcentral.
AGAUUGAACGCUGGCGGCAUGCCUUACACAUGCAAGUCGAACGGCAGCACGGGGGCAACCCUGGUGGCGAGUGGCGAACGGGUGAGUAAUGCAUCGGAACGUGCCCAGUAGUGGGGGAUAACUAGUCGAAAGAUUAGCUAAUACCGCAUACGACCUAUGGGUGAAAGCGGGGGAUUCGCAAGAACCUCGCGCUAUCGGAGCGGCCGAUGUCUGAUUAGCGUAGUUGGCGGGGUAAAAGCCCACCAACGGCUUCGGAUCAGUAGCUGGUCUGAGAGGACGACCAGCCACACUGGGACUGAGACACGGCCCAGACUCCUACGGGAGGCAGCAGUGGGGAAUUUUGGACAAUGGGCGCAAGCCUGAUCCAGCCAAUGCCGCGUGCGGGAAGAAGGCCUUCGGUGUAAACCGCUUUGGCAGGACGAACGGCGCGAGCAAAUAUCUCGCGUUAAUGACGGUACCUGCAGAAUAAGCACCGGCUAACUACGUGCCAGCAGACCCG